UGUGAACUCGAAGAGUAGGGCGGGACACGUGGUAUCCUGUCUGAAUAUGGGGGGACCAUCCUCCAAGGCUAAAUACUCCUGACUGACCGAUAGUGAACCAGUACCGUGAGGGAAAGGCGAAAAGAACCCCGGCGAGGGGAGUGAAAAAGAACCUGAAACCGUGUACGUACAAGCAGUGGGAGCACCUUCGGGUGUGACUGCGUACCUUUUGUAUAAUGGGUCAGCGACUUAUAUUCUGUAGCAAGGUUAACCGUAUAGGGGAGCCGCAGGGAAACCGAGUCUUAACUGGGCGUUAAGUUGCAGGGUAUAGACCCGAAACCCGGUGAUCUAGCCAUGGGCAGGUUGAAGGUUGGGUAACACUAACUGGAGGACCGAACCGACUAAUGUUGAAAAAUUAGCGGAUGACUUGUGGCUGGGGGUGAAAGGCCAAUCAAACCGGGAGAUAGCUGGUUCUCCCCGAAAGCUAUUUAGGUAGCGCCUCGUGAACUCAUCUUCGGGGGUAGAGCACUGUUUCGGCUAGGGGGUCAUCCCGACUUACCAACCCGAUGCAAACUACGAAUACCGAAGAAUGUUAUCACGGGAGACACACGGCGGGUGCUAACGUCCGUCGUGAAGAGGGAAACAACCCAGACCGCCAGCUAAGGUCCCAAAGUCAUGGUUAAGUGGGAAACGAUGUGGGAAGGCACAGACAGCCAGGAUGUUGGCUUAGAAGCAGCCAUCAUUUAAAGAAAGCGUAAUAGCUCACUGGUCGAGUCGGCCUGCGCGGAAGAUGUAACGGGGCUAAACCAUGCACCGAAGCUGCGGCAGCGACACUAUGUGUUGUUGGGUAGGGGAGCGUUCUGUAAGCCUGCGAAGGUGACCUGUGAGGGUUGCUGGAGGUAUCAGAAGUGCGAAUGCUGACAUAAGUAACGAUAAAGCGGGUGAAAAGCCCGCUCGCCGGAAGACCAAGGGUUCCUGUCCAACGUUAAUCGGGGCAGGGUGAGUCGACCCCUAAGGCGAGGCCGAAAGGCGUAGUCGAUGGGAAACAGGUUAAUAUUCCUGUACUUGGUGUUACUGCGAAGGGGGGACGGAGAAGGCUAUGUUAGCCGGGCGACGGUUGUCCCGGUUUAAGCAUGUAGGCUGGUUAUCCAGGCAAAUCCGGAUAAUCAAGGCUGAGGUGUGAUGACGAGGCACUACGGUGCUGAAGUAACAAAUGCCCUGCUUCCAGGAAAAGCCUCUAAGCAUCAGGUAACAUCAAAUCGUACCCCAAACCGACACAGGUGGUCAGGUAGAGAAUACCAAGGCGCUUGAGAGAACUCGGGUGAAGGAACUAGGCAAAAUGGUGCCGUAACUUCGGGAGAAGGCACGCUGGUGUGUAGGUGAAGUCCCUGCGGAUGGAGCUGAGACCAGUCGAAGAUACCAGCUGGCUGCAACUGUUUAUUAAAAACACAGCACUGUGCAAACACGAAAGUGGACGUAUACGGUGUGACGCCUGCCCGGUGCCGGAAGGUUAAUUGAUGGGGUUAUCCGUAAGGAGAAGCUCUUGAUCGAAGCCCCGGUAAACGGCGGCCGUAACUAUAACGGUCCUAAGGUAGCGAAAUUCCUUGUCGGGUAAGUUCCGACCUGCACGAAUGGCGUAAUGAUGGCCAGGCUGUCUCCACCCGAGACUCAGUGAAAUUGAACUCGCUGUGAAGAUGCAGUGUACCCGCGGCAAGACGGAAAGACCCCGUGAACCUUUACUAUAGCUUGACACUGAACAUUGAGCCUUGAUGUGUAGGAUAGGUGGGAGGCUUUGAAGCGUGGACGCCAGUCUGCGUGGAGCCAACCUUGAAAUACCACCCUUUAAUGUUUGAUGUUCUAACGU
RNAcentral lists this ribosomal RNA (1843 nucleotides) under Klebsiella pneumoniae. RNAcentral describes it as "partial 23S ribosomal RNA". It matches the Rfam family "Bacterial large subunit ribosomal RNA", at positions 398 to 2228 of the family's 2925-position model. The record is from RNAcentral. Lineage: Bacteria; Pseudomonadati; Pseudomonadota; Gammaproteobacteria; Enterobacterales; Enterobacteriaceae. RNAcentral also lists the same sequence under 1 other name.